UACGUAGGGACCGAGCGUUGUCCGGAAUCAUUGGGCGUAAAGAGCGUGUAGGCGGCCAUUUAAGUCCUGCGUGAAAUCCUGCGGCUCAACCGCAGACGGUCGUGGGAAACUGGAUGGCUAGAGUGCGGGAGAGGAGAGUGGAAUUCCCGGUGUAGCGGUGAAAUGCGCAGAUAUCGGGAAGAACACCCGUGGCGAAGGCGGCUCUCUGGGACGGUACUGACGCCGAGACGCGAAAGCGUGGGGAGCGAACAGG
Molecule: ribosomal RNA, 253 nt
Filed under: uncultured bacterium
Lineage: Bacteria
Description: partial 16S ribosomal RNA
Rfam family: Bacterial small subunit ribosomal RNA
Source: RNAcentral